This 778-nucleotide ribosomal RNA is filed under the name uncultured bacterium. Its description in RNAcentral is "bacterial SSU rRNA". It matches the Rfam family "Bacterial small subunit ribosomal RNA", at positions 61 to 838 of the family's 1533-position model. The record is from RNAcentral.
GUCGAACGGGGUUUAUAUGACGGAACUCUCCGGAGGGAAGAUAUAUAAACCUAGUGGCGGACGGGUGAGUAACGCGUGGGCAACCUGCCCUGUACCGGGGGACAACAGCCAGAAAUGGCUGCUAAUACCGCAUAAGCCUGCUGUGCCGCAUGGCACAGCAGGGAAAACCACGGCGGUACAGGAUGGGCCCGCGUCUGAUUAGUUAGUUGGCAGGGUAACGGCCUACCAAGACAACGAUCAGUAGCCGGCUUGAGAGAGUGGACGGCCACAUUGGGACUGAGACACGGCCCAGACUCCUGCGGGAGGCAGCAGUGGGGAAUAUUGCACAAUGGGGGGAACCCUGAUGCAGCAAUGCCGCGUGGGUGAAGAAGCACUCCGGUGCGUAAAGCCCUGUCAGCAGGGAAGAAAAUGACAGUACCUGGACAAGAAGCCCCGGCUAACUACGUGCCAGCAGCCGCGGUAAUACGUAGGGGGCAAGCGUUAUCCGGAUUUACUGGGUGUAAAGGGAGCGCAGGCGGCGUGGCAAGUCAGAUGUGAAAACCCGGGGCCCAACCCCGGGAGUGCAUUUGAAACUGCCAUGCUGGAGUGCCGGAGAGGUAAGCGGAAUUCCUAGUGUAGCGGUGAAAUGCGUAGAUAUUAGGAGGAACACCAGUGGCGGAGGCGGCUUACUGGACGGUAACUGACGCUGAGGCUCGAAAGCGUGGGGAGCAAACAGGAUUAGAUACCCUGGUAGUCCACGCUGUAAACGAUGAAUACUAGGUACAGGGGCACAAAAAGU